CUGUUCGAGCGUCAUUUCAACCCUCAAGCGCAGCUGGUAUUGAGCCCGUGUCAGCGAUGGCAGGCUCCAAAAUCAGUGGCGGCGCCGCUGGGCCCUGAACGUAGUAAUAUCUCUCGUUACAGGCGCUCGGCGCGCUUCUGCCAAAACCCCAACUUUCUAUGGUUGACCUCGGAUCAGGUAGGGAUACCCGCUGAACUUAA
This 200-nucleotide unclassified non-coding RNA is filed under the name soil metagenome. Its description in RNAcentral is "partial contains internal transcribed spacer 2 and large subunit ribosomal RNA". The record is from RNAcentral.